CCUACGGUGUGCAGCAGUAGGGAAUAUUGCUCAAUGGGGGAAACCCUGAAGCAGCAACGCCGCGCGGAGGAUGAAGGUUUUCGGAUUGUACACCCCUUUUGGCAGAGAAGAUAAUGACGGUACCUAACGAAUCAGCACCGGCUAACUACGUGCCAGCAGCCGCGGUAAUACGGAGGGGGCAAGCGUUACCCGGAGUUACUGGGCGUAAAGAGCGCGUAGGCGGGAUCGCAAGUCAUAAGUGAAAUGCUGGGGCGAAACCCAGGGACUGCUCUGGAAACUGUGAAGUUGGAGUGUAGGAGAGGUAAGCGGAAUUCCUGGUGUAGCGGUGAAAUGCGUAGAUAUCAGGAGGAAGACCGGCGGCGAAGGCGGCUUACGGGACUGUAACCGACGUUGAGGCUCGAAGGCGUGGGGAGCAAACAGGAUUAGAUACCCUAGUAGUC
RNAcentral lists this ribosomal RNA (440 nucleotides) under uncultured bacterium. RNAcentral's name for it is "partial 16S ribosomal RNA". It matches the Rfam family "Bacterial small subunit ribosomal RNA", at positions 338 to 795 of the family's 1533-position model. The record is from RNAcentral.